AUGCUCCUCGACCACAUCUCCACGAACCACUCCCGCCAAGUCAUCCUCAUGCGCUACGGCCAGACGGGGAGGCUCAGCCUUGUUGGAAUUAACCAGGUUGUCCAGACGACAUGGCCAACCGCCAACCGGCAUCGGAGCGUGUUCCUCGUGGUCUUGGCCGAGCGCGACAAGGACUCUGCGGUGUCGCUGGUGUGCGUCAGGGCGGACGGUGACGCACCGGGCGCGCCGCAGUUCUCGUCCAAGCUCGCCGUGGAGCACACCGGCAGUGGCGCGAGGGUGACGUUUGAGUUACUGGUCAUGAAAAGCAGCUCCCUGCCCGCUGGCACGCCAUGGCCGGACGAGUUUACGUCCCUGUCGGUGCCGAAAGCGUAUCUGUCUGGCGACAUUGUCCCCCUCACCAUCCACAUUGACAAACACAUUCCUCCUCCUCCCCCUCCUGCUGCCGCCCCUACUAGUCCUCUUCCUCCUCCUCCUCCUUCUCCUGCAGCCUCGGCUACCACCAACGUCAAGUCCGCGCCGAUUGAUCAAGGCAGCAAGAAACGAAAAUCUAUCAAUCCGAAGAAACUCUAG
Molecule: ribosomal RNA, 570 nt
Filed under: Triticum aestivum (bread wheat)
Lineage: Eukaryota; Viridiplantae; Streptophyta; Magnoliopsida; Poales; Poaceae
Description: partial small subunit ribosomal RNA
Source: RNAcentral